This 497-nucleotide ribosomal RNA is filed under the name uncultured bacterium. Its description in RNAcentral is "partial 16S ribosomal RNA". It matches the Rfam family "Bacterial small subunit ribosomal RNA", at positions 28 to 507 of the family's 1533-position model. The record is from RNAcentral.
GAUGAACGCUGGCGGCGUGCCUAAUACAUGCAAGUCGAGCGAACAGACGAGGCGCUUGCUCCUCUCACGUUAGCGGCGGACGGGUGAGUAACACGUGGAUCACCUACCUAUCAGACUGGGAUAACUUCGGGACACCGGCGCUUAUACCGUAUAAUAUAUUGCACCGCAUUGUUCAAUAGUGAAAGACGGUUUUUCUGUCACUUCUCGAUGGAUCCGCGCCGCAUUAGCUAGUUGGUAGGGUAACGGCUUACCAAGGCAACGAUGCGUAGCCGAACUGAGAGGGGGAUAGGCGACAUGAGAACGGAGACAGGGACAAGAGGACUAAGGGAGGGAGCAGUAGGGAAUGGGACGCAAUGGGCGAAAGCCUGACGGAGCAAGGCGGAGUGAGAGAUGAAGGUGUUCGGAGCGUAAAAAUGGGUUAUGAGGGAAGAACAAAUGUGUAAGGAAAUAUGCACGGAGUGACGGUAACGAAUCAGAAAGCAACGGCUAACUACGUG